CCUACGGGAGGCAGCAGUGGGGAAUAUUGCACAAUGGGGGAAACCCUGAUGCAGCGACGCCGCGUGAGGGAAGAAGUAAUUCGGUAUGUAAAGCUCUAUCAGCAGGGAAGAAAAUGACGGUACCUGAGUAAGAAGCCCCGGCUAACUACGUGCCAGCAGCCGCGGUAAUACGUAGGGGGCAAGCGUUAUCCGGAUUUACUGGGUGUAAAGGGAGCGUAGACGGCAGUGCAAGUCUGGAGUGAAAGGCGGGGGCUCAACCCCCGGACUGCUCUGGAAACUGUACGGCUGGAGUGCAGGAGAGGCAAGUGGAAUUCCUAGUGUAGCGGUGAAAUGCGUAGAUAUUAGGAGGAACACCAGUGGCGAAGGCGGCUUACUGGACUGUAACUGACGUUGAGGCUCGAAAGCGUGGGGAGCAAACAGGAUUAGAUACCCCUGUAGUC
This 440-nucleotide ribosomal RNA is filed under the name uncultured bacterium. RNAcentral describes it as "partial 16S ribosomal RNA". It matches the Rfam family "Bacterial small subunit ribosomal RNA", at positions 338 to 795 of the family's 1533-position model. The record is from RNAcentral.